This 488-nucleotide ribosomal RNA is filed under the name uncultured bacterium. RNAcentral describes it as "bacterial SSU rRNA". It matches the Rfam family "Bacterial small subunit ribosomal RNA", at positions 28 to 534 of the family's 1533-position model. The record is from RNAcentral.
GAUGAACGUUGGCGGCGUGCCUAAUACAUGCAAGUCGAACGAAGACUGUAGUAAUACUGUCUUAGUGGCGAACGGGUGAGUAACGCGUGGGUGACCUGCCCCGAAGUGUGGGAUAACAGUUCGAAAGGAUUGCUAAUACUGCAUAAUAUCCAAGAGAUUAGACGCUUUUGGAUUAAAGGAGUAAUUCGCUUCGGGAGGGGCCCGCGUCCCAUCAGCUAGUUGGUAAGGUAAUGGCUUACCAAGGCGAUGACGGGUAGGGGACCUGAGAGGGUGGCCCCCACAAUGGAACUGAAACACGGUCCAUACACCUACGGGUGGCAGCAGUAGGGAAUAUUAGUAAUGGGCGAAAGCCUGAACUAGCAACGCCGCGUGUGCGAAGAAGGCCUUCGGGUUGUAAGCACUUUUGUAGAGGAUGAGGAAGGAACGGUACGUCUCAGAAUAAGUACUCGGCUAACUACGUGCCAGCAGCCGCGGUAAACAUGAGAGUA